AGAGAUGUGUGAUGACGCAUAUCAAUAAGCGGAGGAAAAGAAACUAACAAGGAUUCCCCUAGUAACGGCGAGUGAAGCGGGAAGAGCUCAAAUUUGAAAUCUUCAAGGGUUUCCCUUGACGAAUUGUAGUUUAAAGAAGUGUUUUCUGUUAGAGAGGUGGUAAAAGUUCUUUGGAAUAGGACAUCAUAGAGGGUGAGAAUCCCGUAUUUGAUCACUUUCUACUAACGUUGUGAUACACUUUCAAAGAGUCGGAUUGUUUGGGAAUGCAGUCCAAAAUGGGUGGUAAAUUUCAUCUAAAGCUAAAUAUUGGCGAGAGACCGAUAGCGAACAAGUACCGUGAGGGAAAGAUGAAAAGAACUUUGAAAAGAGAGUUAAACAGUACGUGAAAUUGUCAAAAGGGAAGCGUUUGACACCAGUGUUGUUUUUCCGAAAAUCAAUUAUGAAUGGCUUGAUUUUAAGUUUCAUGACCUUAAAAGCUUGUUUCUUAUUUUUCAUGUCUUUCGUAAUGCACUUUUCGGUUAACAAGUCAACAUCAAUUUCUUUUGUUGUAAAAGGGUACGAGGAAGGUGGCUUCCUUUUCGGAGUAAAGUGUUUAUAGCCUUGUACCUCUGCAAUCGGAGAGAUUGAGGUCUGCAGCGUAGAUCCUUCGGGGUUAGAUACAUUUGUGCUAAGUUAUAGCUUUUCAUAGACAACUUGUUGACUAUGUUAAGUCUUGUAAUCUUACUCGCAGUAUGCUAUUUUACCUACGCUUAGGAUGUUGAAGAUGUAGCACAUCAU
Molecule: ribosomal RNA, 777 nt
Filed under: uncultured Neocallimastigales
Lineage: Eukaryota; Fungi; Neocallimastigomycota; Neocallimastigomycetes; Neocallimastigales
Description: partial large subunit ribosomal RNA
Rfam family: Eukaryotic large subunit ribosomal RNA
Source: RNAcentral